RNAcentral lists this ribosomal RNA (497 nucleotides) under uncultured bacterium. RNAcentral describes it as "partial 16S ribosomal RNA". It matches the Rfam family "Bacterial small subunit ribosomal RNA", at positions 28 to 507 of the family's 1533-position model. The record is from RNAcentral.
GAUGAACGCUGGCGGCGUGCCUAAUACAUGCAAGUCGAGCGAACAGACGAGGAGCUUGCUCCUCUGACGUUAGCGGCGGACGGGUGAGUAACACGUGGAUAACCUACCUAUAAGACUGGGAUAACUUCGGGAAACCGGAGCUAAUACUGGAUAAUAUAUUGAACCGCAUGGUUCAAUAGUGAAAGACGGUUUUGCUGUCACUUAUAGAUGGAUCCGCGCCGCAUUAGCUAGUUGGUAAGGUAACGGCUUACCAAGGCAACGAUGCGUAGCCGACCUGAGAGGGUGAUCGGCCACACUGGAACUGAGACACGGUCCAGACUCCUACGGGAGGCAGCAGUAGGGAAUCUUCCGCAAUGGGCGAAAGCCUGACGGGGCAACGCCGCGUGAGUGAUGAAGGUCUUCGGAUCGUAAAACUCUGUUAUUAGGGAAGAACAAAUGUGUAAGUAACUAUGCACGUCUUGACGGUACCUAAUCAGAAAGCCACGGCUAACUACGUG